AACGUAGGACGCAAGCGUUAUCCGGAGUUACUGGGCGUAAAGCGCGGGCAGGCGGUCUGGCCAGUCUGAUGUGAAAUCUCCCCGCUCAACGGGGAGCAGCCAUUGGAAACUACCAGACUGGAGUCUGACAGAGGUAGGCGGAAUUCCGGGUGGAGUGGUGAAAUGCGUAGAGAUCCGGAGGAACACCAGAGGCGAAGGCGGCCUACUGGGUCAGUACUGACGCUGAGCCGCGAAAGCCAGGGGAGCGAACGGG
Molecule: ribosomal RNA, 253 nt
Filed under: uncultured bacterium
Lineage: Bacteria
Description: partial 16S ribosomal RNA
Rfam family: Bacterial small subunit ribosomal RNA
Source: RNAcentral